GGGAAGAGACGCUGGGAUAUCGCCCAGCAACAACAACAACAACUACCACAACAACAACUACCACAACAACAGCAACUACUACCACUACUACUACCUUGAUUGACGACGGGAGGAGAAGGGCACGGUGGGUUCACGGCUCUGCAAGCACCAGCAGCAGCAGCUGCAAGCAAUCAGCAGCAGCAGCAGCAGCAGCAGGAGCAGCGAGAACUUGCCGGCCACAUGUCGCUGCGAUGUGUCGCGUUGCUGUUUCUCGCCUCCGUCUCCUUUCAAGGCGUCGAAGCGGCGAUCUCCGUGGCGGUGACCCCGCUGGUCGAGGUGGAACUGGGAAGUCCGCUGGUGAUCCCCUGCACGGUCACCAGCUCCGUGGGCGACGAGGUGGUCACCCAGUGGUUCAUC
This is a long non-coding RNA of Lethenteron reissneri (Far Eastern brook lamprey), 396 nucleotides long. RefSeq lists it as uncharacterized. NCBI's taxonomy places the organism in Eukaryota, Metazoa, Chordata, Hyperoartia, Petromyzontiformes, Petromyzontidae. The record is from RefSeq and is a predicted model, not a curated record.